This 373-nucleotide ribosomal RNA is filed under the name uncultured organism. RNAcentral's name for it is "partial 16S ribosomal RNA". It matches the Rfam family "Bacterial small subunit ribosomal RNA", at positions 527 to 896 of the family's 1533-position model. The record is from RNAcentral.
GUAGGUGGCAAGCGUUGUCCGGAAUUAUUGGGCGUAAAGCGCGCGCAGGCGGUUUUUAAGUCUGAUGUGAAAGCCCACGGCUCAACCGUGGAGGGUCAUUGGAAACUGGAGAACCUGAGUACAGAAGAGGAAAGCGGAAUUCCACGUGUAGCGGUGAAAUGCGUAGAGAUGUGGAGGAACACCAGUGGCGAAGGCGGCUUUCUGGUCUGUAACUGACGCUGAGGCGCGAAAGCGUGGGGAGCAAACAGGGAUUAGAUACCCUGGUAGUCCACGCCGUAAACGAUGAGUGCUAAGUGUUAGGGGGGUUUCCGCCCCCUUAGUGCUGCAGCUAACGCAUUAAGCACUCCGCCUGGGGAGUACGGCCGCAAGGCUG